This 1056-nucleotide ribosomal RNA is filed under the name Triticum aestivum (bread wheat). Its description in RNAcentral is "partial small subunit ribosomal RNA". The record is from RNAcentral. Lineage: Eukaryota; Viridiplantae; Streptophyta; Magnoliopsida; Poales; Poaceae.
AUGUCACGCGCCACGCACGAUAUGGACGGCAACGCCGCCCCUGACGCCUACGCCAGGUACGAGGCGAUCGCUUCCUCCCUCCCGACGUCGGCGUGCCAGGGCCUGGGGGCCGCCGCGUACAAGAACCACCGCGGCUUCUGGUACCCGGCGCACCAAAUGUCGCCGACGCUCGCCGCGCGGGACACCUUCGUCGCCCGCCCCACCGACAUCCUCGUCGCCACCCUGCCCAAGUCCGGCACCACGUGGCUCAAGGCGCUCGUGUUCGCCGUCGCGUACCGCCGCACGCACACGCCAGCACUGGAGGACGGCGCGGGGCAGCGCCGCCACCCGCUCCUGGGCUCCAGCCCCCACGACCUCGUCCCAUUCCUGCACUACGUCUACGAGAAGCACCAGUCGGCCGCGGCGCCGCUCCUGGAGGCGAUGCCGGCGCCGCGCGUGCUGGCCGUGCACGCGCCGCUCUCGGCGCUGCCGGCGUCCGUGGCCGGCUCCGGCUGCCGCGCCGUCUACAUGUGCCGGGACCCCAAGGACGCGCUCGUCUCGCUCUGGCACUACCUCCGCAAAGCCAACCGUCCGGGCGCCACCGCGGCGUCGCUCGAGGAGCUGCUCGCGGCGUUCUGCGACGGCGUCUCGCCGUUCGGGCCGGCGUGGGAGCACGUGGCCGAGUACUGGAGGGAGAGCCUGGCGCGGCCGGAGCAGGUCAUGUUCCUCCGGUACGAGCACGUCAAGGAGGACACGGUGGGGAGCGCGAAGCGGCUCGCCGAGUUCCUCGGCUGCCCGUUCACGGCCGAGGAGGCGGCCGGGGGCGUCCCCGAGGCCGUGGCAGCGCUGUGCGGCAUAGAGCGGAUGAGGAGCGUGGAGGCGAACCGCACCGGCGAGUACGGGGUUCACUGGAAGUUCAGCAACUCGGCGUUCUUCAGGAAUGGGGAGGUUGGGGACUGGAAGCAGCACAUGACGGCCGAGAUGGCGCAGAGAAUCGAUGGCAUCAUGGAUGGUAAGUUGCGGGGCAUUGGCCUCUCGCUUAUCACUGAACCAAAGCAACUUCUGAAUGAAAAUUAA